UUCUAGGAGCACCAUUUCCCAGUCGAAUGAACUAUGGAACAUAAAGUAGGCAUCUGUAGCUGGGUAUCUACUUGGUGAAUAUGUUUUGUAAAUCCUGUCCACCCCCCUGGAUGGGUAGUCGGCAAAACGUCGGACUGUCAUAAGAAUUGAAACGCUGGCACACUGUUGGGUCCUGAGGCAACACGUUGUGUUGUCACCCUGCUUGGUGGUGGGGUGUGGACUUUGACUUCUGAAUAGUGGUUGCGAGCAUC
RNAcentral lists this unclassified non-coding RNA (251 nucleotides) under Mycobacteroides abscessus subsp. bolletii. Its description in RNAcentral is "partial contains 16S ribosomal RNA, 16S-23S ribosomal RNA intergenic spacer, and 23S ribosomal RNA". Lineage: Bacteria; Bacillati; Actinomycetota; Actinomycetes; Mycobacteriales; Mycobacteriaceae. The record is from RNAcentral.